GCGCCCGUAGCUCAGUUGGAUAGAGCGUCUGGCUACGAACCAGAAGGUCGGCAGUUCGAAUCUGUCCGGGCGCACCA
Molecule: transfer RNA, 77 nt
Filed under: Candidatus Solibacter usitatus
Lineage: Bacteria; Pseudomonadati; Acidobacteriota; Terriglobia; Bryobacterales; Solibacteraceae
Also listed under: 14 other names
Description: tRNA-Arg
Rfam family: tRNA
About the family: Transfer RNA (tRNA) molecules are approximately 80 nucleotides in length. Their secondary structure includes four short double-helical elements and three loops (D, anti-codon, and T loops).
Source: RNAcentral